GGAUGCUUAGCUCAGCUGGUAGAGCAUCGCCCUUACAAGGCGAGGGUCGGGGGUUCGAGCCCCUCAGCAUCCACCA
This 76-nucleotide transfer RNA is filed under the name bacterium. RNAcentral describes it as "tRNA-Val". It matches the Rfam family "tRNA". From Rfam's summary of the family: Transfer RNA (tRNA) molecules are approximately 80 nucleotides in length. Their secondary structure includes four short double-helical elements and three loops (D, anti-codon, and T loops). The record is from RNAcentral.